This 486-nucleotide ribosomal RNA is filed under the name uncultured bacterium. RNAcentral's name for it is "partial 16S ribosomal RNA". It matches the Rfam family "Bacterial small subunit ribosomal RNA", at positions 29 to 507 of the family's 1533-position model. The record is from RNAcentral.
AUGCACGCUAGCGAUAGGCUUAACACAUGCAAGUCGAGGGGCAGCACAAGGUAGCUUGCUCUCUGGGUGGCGACCGGCGCACGGGUGCGUAACGCGUAUGCAACUUGCCCUAUACAGGAGGAUAACCCGUCGAAAGACGGACUAAUACUGCGUAUGCUCACAACUUGGCAUCAAGUGGUGAGGAAAGAAAUUCGGUAUAGGAUAGGCAUGCGUCCCAUUAGCUUGUUGGUGAGGUAACGGCUCACCAAGGCAACGAUGGGUAGGGGAACUGAGAGGUUUAUCCCCCACACUGGUACUGAGACACGGACCAGACUCCUACGGGAGGCAGCAGUGAGGAAUAUUGGGCAAUGGGCGCGAGCCUGAACCAGCCAAGUCGCGUGAAGGAUGACUGUCUUAUGGAUUGUAAACUUCUUUUAUACGGGAAUAACAAGAGUCACGGGUGACUCCCUGCAUGUACCGUAUGAAUAAGCAUCGGCUAACUCCGUG